RNAcentral lists this transfer RNA (72 nucleotides) under Camelus bactrianus (Bactrian camel). It matches the Rfam family "tRNA". From Rfam's summary of the family: Transfer RNA (tRNA) molecules are approximately 80 nucleotides in length. Their secondary structure includes four short double-helical elements and three loops (D, anti-codon, and T loops). RNAcentral also lists the same sequence under 2 other names. The record is from Rfam by way of RNAcentral. Lineage: Eukaryota; Metazoa; Chordata; Mammalia; Artiodactyla; Camelidae.
GAAGGUAUAGCCUAGUGGUAGAGCACGUGCUUAGCAUGCACAAGGUCCUGGGUUCAAUCCCUAGUACCUCCA